This is a long non-coding RNA of Dipodomys spectabilis (banner-tailed kangaroo rat), 274 nucleotides long. RefSeq lists it as uncharacterized. The record is from RefSeq and is a predicted model, not a curated record. NCBI's taxonomy places the organism in Eukaryota, Metazoa, Chordata, Mammalia, Rodentia, Heteromyidae. The transcript has 3 exons.
CUGAGAUGUGAGACUGGGCUCCACUGGGCUCAGAGGCAGACCUCAGGAUCCCAGUCUCGGGAGGGAACUGGUACUGAGUUCACUCACUGCCGAUGCUGGGAGAAUUUAAGAGAGACACAAAAGGAACUGCAGAGCCACAGACCUGCGUGGGACAGAGAUCAGCUUGAGACCGAAGAGCCCUUCCUCUUCUGAUCUUGUGCCAGAGCCUAGAUCAGAGAUUUUGACCUCAAGAUUUCAUCACCUAGUGAAUGCUUUAAGAGCCUUCAGUACCAGG